Molecule: long non-coding RNA, 227 nt
Filed under: Mytilus galloprovincialis (Mediterranean mussel)
Lineage: Eukaryota; Metazoa; Mollusca; Bivalvia; Mytilida; Mytilidae
Source: RNAcentral
ACAUGAUUUUUGUUUGUUCCUAACAGGGUUGACAUAUUUACGGAUCUAUCUCAUGAUGUUGAAUAUGUAGAAUAUUGUUAUUAUAUGUAGUUUCCAUCACGAGUUAAGUAAACUUGAUCGUGAUUAUGUUUUGUACGGGUUUUUUCUUUUUCUUUUUUCUCUCAGAUGGUAAAGGUAGAUAUAUUUUGGCUUUUCAUGCUUCUCAGUCCCAACUUUUAAUAGUACAA